AGUGAACGCUGGCGGUAGGCCUAACACAUGCAAGUCGAACGGCAGCACAGUAAGAGCUUGCUCUUACGGGUGGCGAGUGGCGGACGGGUGAGGAAUACAUCGGAAUCUACUUUUUCGUGGGGGAUAACGUAGGGAAACUUACGCUAUACCGCAUACGACCUACGGGUGAAAGCAGGGGAUCUUCGGACCUUGCGCGGUUGAAUGAGCCGAUGUCGGAUUAGCUAGUUGGCGGGGUAAAGGCCCACCAAGGCGACGAUCCGUAGCUGGUCUGAGAGGAUGAUCAGCCACACUGGAACUGAGACACGGUCCAGACUCCUACGGGAGGCAGCAGUGGGGAAUAUUGGACAAUGGGCGCAAGCCUGAUCCAGCCAUACCGCGUGGGUGAAGAAGGCCUUCGGGUUGUAAAGCCCUUUUGUUGGGAAAGAAAAGCAGCAGGUUAAUACCCCGCUGUUCUGACGGUACCCAAAGAAUAAGCACCGGCUAACUUCGUG
RNAcentral lists this ribosomal RNA (491 nucleotides) under uncultured bacterium. RNAcentral describes it as "partial 16S ribosomal RNA". It matches the Rfam family "Bacterial small subunit ribosomal RNA", at positions 29 to 507 of the family's 1533-position model. The record is from RNAcentral.